UUCAAGAUGAGGAACACAGGGAUGUUUUCUAGAGAAUUCAGCUGGGGGUCAUACAAGACCCCAACGGGCUGAGCUUGCAGCUGGAGCAGAGGGGAUGAGAGGUGCCAAAGGAUGCUGAGAAAUAGGAAGAAUCUUUUUGCUGAGAAAACUGAGUCUGCUAAUAAGAGGUGUAAUUUAUACACCUGAUCUAGUGAAAUCUCCUCAACCAACCAACCCACCCUGGAGUUUAACACAGAAAUGUCAUGACACCGCUUGAUGGAAGUUUGGAUACAACUGGCCCCCGACACCAACAGAUAUCCCAUCAAACUCUGAACCAGAGGCAUAACAGGAUGGAAUAUCAGCUUCACCACCCACAGUUUGGGCAAGAAGAGUCU
Alligator sinensis (Chinese alligator) is the source of this 374-nucleotide long non-coding RNA. RefSeq lists it as uncharacterized. NCBI's taxonomy places the organism in Eukaryota, Metazoa, Chordata, Crocodylia, Alligatoridae. The record is from RefSeq and is a predicted model, not a curated record. The transcript is spliced from 3 exons.